This 460-nucleotide ribosomal RNA is filed under the name uncultured bacterium. RNAcentral describes it as "partial 16S ribosomal RNA". It matches the Rfam family "Bacterial small subunit ribosomal RNA", at positions 338 to 795 of the family's 1533-position model. The record is from RNAcentral.
CCUACGGGAGGCUGCAGUGAGGAAUAUUGGUCAAUGGACGAGAGUCUGAACCAGCCAAGUAGCGUGAAGGAUGACUGCCCUAUGGGUUGUAAACUUCUUUUAUAUGGGAAUAAAAUGUUCCACGUGUGGGAUUUUGUAUGUACCAUAUGAAUAAGGAUCGGCUAACUCCGUGCCAGCAGCCGCGGUAAUACGGAGGAUCCGCGCGUUAUCCGGAUUUAUUGGGUUUAAAGGGAGCGUAGGUGGAUUGUUAAGUCAGUUGUGAAAGUUUGCGGCUCAACCGUAAAAUUGCAGUUGAAACUGGCAGUCGUGAGUACAGUAGAGGUGGGCGGAAUUCGUGGUGUAGCGGUGAAAUGCUUAGAUAUCACGAAGAACUCCGAUUGCGAAGGCAGCUCACUGGACUGCAACUGACACUGAGGCUCGAAAGUGUGGGUAUCAAACAGGAUUAGAUACCCGUGUAGUC